RNAcentral lists this ribosomal RNA (413 nucleotides) under soil fungal sp. DM2-109. RNAcentral describes it as "eukaryotic LSU rRNA". It matches the Rfam family "Eukaryotic large subunit ribosomal RNA", at positions 141 to 561 of the family's 3401-position model. Lineage: Eukaryota; Fungi. The record is from RNAcentral.
CGUUGUAAUUUGUAGAGGAUGCUUUUGGCAAGGUGCCGCCCGAGUUCCCUGGAACGGGACGCCACAGAGGGUGAGAGCCCCGUCUGGCUGGCCACCGAGCCUCUGUAAAGCUCCUUCGACGAGUCGAGUAGUUUGGGAAUGCUGCUCAAAAUGGGAGGUAUAUGUCUUCUAAAGCUAAAUAUUGGCCAGAGACCGAUAGCGCACAAGUAGAGUGAUCGAAAGAUGAAAAGUACCUUGAAAAGAGGGUUAAAUANUACGUGAAAUUGUUGAAAGGGAAGCGCUUGUGACCAGACUUGGGCGCGGCGGAUCAUCCGGGGUUCUCCCCGGUGCACUUCGNCGUGUCCAGGCCAGCAUCAGUUCNUCGCGGGGGAAAAAGGCUUCGGGAACGUGGCUCCCCUGGGAGUGUUAUAGCC